This 493-nucleotide ribosomal RNA is filed under the name uncultured bacterium. Its description in RNAcentral is "bacterial SSU rRNA". It matches the Rfam family "Bacterial small subunit ribosomal RNA", at positions 1 to 507 of the family's 1533-position model. The record is from RNAcentral.
AGUACGUAGUUUGAUCAGUGGCUACGAGACGACGCUGGCGGCGUGCCUAACACAUGCAAGUCGAACGGGGUAAGAAGCUUCGGUUUCUUACUUAGUGGCGAACGGGUGAGUAACGCGUGAAUAACCUGCCUGUAUGUGGGGGAUAACAACCGGAAACAGUUGCUAAUACCGCAUAAUGUAUAAGAGUCGCAUGUCUUUUAUACCAAAGGAGCAAUCCGCUGAAAGAUGGGCUCACGUCUGAUUAGUUAGUUGGUGAGGUAACGGCUCACCAAGACUGCGAUCAGUAGCCGGACUGAGAGGUUGAACGGCCACAUUGGGACUGAGAUACGGCCCAGACUCCUACGGGAGGCAGCAGUGGGGAAUAUUGGGCAAUGGGCGAAAGCCUGACCCAGCAACGCCGCGUGAAGGAAGAAGGUUUUCGGAUUGUAAACUUCUUUUAUGAGGGACGAAGAACGUGACGGUACCUCAUGAAUAAGCCACGGCUAACUACGUG